GCUGUCUCCGGGCCAGCUGUCGGGUUAAUACGUAGGGUGCGAGUGUGAAUCGGAAUUACUGGUCGUAAAGGGGUCGCAGUCGGCGCCGCAUGUCGGGCGUGAAAUCCCCGGGCUUAACCUGGGAAUUGCGUCCGAAACUAUGGAGCUGGAGUGUGGCAGAGGGAGGUGGAAUUCCACGUGUAGCGGCGAAAUGCGUAGAGAUGUGGAGGAACACCGAUGGCGAAGGCAGCCUCCUGGGCCAACACUGACGCUCAUGCACGAAAGCGUGGGGAGCAAACAGGAUUAGAUACCCGGGUAGUC
Molecule: ribosomal RNA, 300 nt
Filed under: uncultured Pyrodictium sp.
Lineage: Archaea; Thermoproteati; Thermoproteota; Thermoprotei; Desulfurococcales; Pyrodictiaceae
Description: bacterial SSU rRNA
Rfam family: Bacterial small subunit ribosomal RNA
Source: RNAcentral